GGAUGCUGCGACGCAGGUGGUCCAGCAGCUCGUCUCCCUCAGGCUUCGUCCGCCCCGUAGCCACCCUCAGGGGAGAUUCCAGGCUCCUGUGUCCCCAGGGAAUGAAGGGGCUGAGCAAGGUGCCAAGUGAAGACGCUGAGCGCUGAGUUUCUACCCAACAUCAGGCUCCAGUGACUGCUAGCGAAAAGCUUGUUAAAAGGCCGGUCUACCCUCACCGCGCCCGUACGUACCGCUCUCCUCCAAGAACCUCAAGGCGUCUAAGUACCCACGAAGGCAGAUCUCGCCAAGCACCUGGCAACAAACCAAAUACGGUAACUGCAGUGUUGAGACCAAGAGCAGAGCCCUCCCCGCUGGCAGCUGCUCCCAUGGCCCAGCACGGCCACGGCAAGGCUGGACGACAGGACUCCGGGCUCCUAAGAGACAGAAGUCCACUUCCACAUGGGACUAGGUUCGAACGACACCCCCUCCGUGAAGACUUUGCUGGCAGCGCAGCAUGACAGGCGCUGAUUUCCCUAGGCUCCCUUGGUCCCUGCACGAGCCUCCACCCUCACAAAUAUGGAGGCUUGUGCUAGUUGUCACGGGACAAUUAACAGCGGCCUCCUCCACUCGUCUGGACACAAACCACACAUGCAAACCAAUGCACAGCCUCCCCUCUCUCCUGGAGUACAUGCUGUUGGGGUACAGCUUACACACUGCCUUCCUUCUCCCUGGAGAACCAUUAGGAUACAUGGUUCACACCUUUUCUUUUUAUUAGGGAGAUAAGACCUCCUACAACAACAAUCAAGAAAGAUUAAACCACCAAAUGCAGUGUGGUUCUUGACCACACUUGCAAAUACGAAUCCUCAGGAUACCUCCAAAAAAAAAAAAAAAAUCGCACGGCCUAGGCCGCACCCCAACUACUUAAAUCAUAGCCCGGGGAUGUGGAAUCUGAGCUGCCGGGCUGUUUAAAUCUUCCCAGGUGAUUCCAAUGGGCAGAGUGGGGCAGCCCUGAGCUGCCGGGACCAGAAACUCUGAGUUCCUAUUCGAUGAGGGGGAUCUGUUUCUGUUUGUGGAAAGGACAAUUGGGAGCUAUCCUGGCAAACAAGGAAGCAAAGAAGAGCUGCACCCCCAGAACACACAGCCCCCAACUCACCUUGAGAUCCGGAGGGAACAGUGCUUGCAUUAGCAGGUAGACAUUCUUGGAGCAGAGGCGCAAACUGAGCUUGGUUAGGUCCACGUGAAGAAAGUUCGUCGACGUGACUUUAGGGCAGAUGUCAUACUCCCCGUAGAAGGGGGACACAGUGAUGGUUGUUUUGGCAUCAAAGAAGGGGACAUUGUCACUUACUCCUCCAUCCACGUAUCGCUUUUACGGGGAGGAAGAAAGGACAUACUGUCAGAAGCUCUGGGUGAGUGUCUUCUGUGCUUUUUCCGAUUAUGGGUAGAGCCUUCUCAGAGCCGCAGGCUGAUAUUGUGGGAAGACAAGGUUCCAGAACUACUCUUUCAACAAAGCUUUCCUGAGCAUUUCUAUGCCAGGCCAGGCUCUGGGCUGGCACUCAAGUGUGCUAUAUACUGUUGUGUAGUUUG
This is a long non-coding RNA of Mirounga angustirostris (Northern elephant seal), 1563 nucleotides long. RefSeq lists it as uncharacterized. The transcript has 2 exons. Lineage: Eukaryota; Metazoa; Chordata; Mammalia; Carnivora; Phocidae. The record is from RefSeq and is a predicted model, not a curated record.